This 395-nucleotide ribosomal RNA is filed under the name uncultured bacterium. Its description in RNAcentral is "partial 16S ribosomal RNA". It matches the Rfam family "Bacterial small subunit ribosomal RNA", at positions 523 to 918 of the family's 1533-position model. The record is from RNAcentral.
AUACGUAGGGUGCAAGCGUUAAUCGGAAUUACUGGGCGUAAAGCGUGCGCAGGCGGUUUUGUAAGACAGAGGUGAAAUCCCCGGGCUCAACCUGGGGACUGCCUUUGUGACUGCAAGGCUAGAGUACGGCAGAGGGGGAUGGAAUUCCGGGUGUAGCAGUGAAAUGCGUAGAUAUGCGGAGGAACACCGAUGGCGAAGGCAAUCCCCGGGGCCUGUACUGACGCUCAUGCACGAAAGCGUGGGGAGCAAACAGGAUUAGAUACCCUGGUAGUCCACGCCCUAAACGAUGUCAACUGGUUGUUGGGUCUUCAUUGACUCAGUAACGAAGCUAACGCGUGAAGUUGACCGCCUGGGGAGUACGGCCGCAAGGUUGAAACUCAAAUGAAUUGGCGGGG